Molecule: ribosomal RNA, 483 nt
Filed under: uncultured bacterium
Lineage: Bacteria
Description: bacterial SSU rRNA
Rfam family: Bacterial small subunit ribosomal RNA
Source: RNAcentral
AACGAACGCUGGCGGCAGGCUUAACACAUGCAAGUCGAACGCCCCGCAAGGGGAGUGGCAGACGGGUGAGUAACGCGUGGGAAUCUACCCAGUUCUACGGAACAACUGAGGGAAACUUCAGCUAAUACCGUAUACGCCCUACGGGGGAAGAUUAUCGGAAUUGGAUGAGCCCGCGUUGGAUUAGCUAGUUGGUGAGGUAACGGCUCACCAAGGCGACGAUCCAUAGCUGGUCUGAGAGGAUGAUCAGCCACACUGGGACUGAGACACGGCCCAGACUCCUACGGGAGGCAGCAGUGGGGAAUAUUGGACAAUGGGCGCAAGCCUGAUCCAGCCAUGCCGCGUGAGUGAUGAAGGCCCUCGGGUUGUAAACUGCUUUUGUACGGAACGAAACGGUCCUGGUUAAUACCUGGGGCUAAUGACGGUACCGUAAGAAUAAGCACCGGCUAACCUACGUGCCAGCAGCCGCGGUAAAGCUAACGUAGA